UCUUCCCUCUCUCUCCAGGCUUAACACAUGCAAGUCGAGGGGAAACGGCAUUAAGUGCUUGCACUUUUUGGACGUCGACCGGCGCACGGGUGAGUAACGCGUAUCCAACCUUCUCAUGACUAAGGGAUAACCUGCCGAAAGGCAGACUAAUACAUUAUGGUCUUCACUGACGGCAUCAGAUGUGAAGUAAAGAUUUAUCGGUUAUGGAUGAGGAUGCGUCUGAUUAGCUUGUUGGCGGGGUACCGGCCCACCAAGGCAACGAUCAGUAGGGGUUCUGAGAGGAAGGUGCCUCACAUUGGAACUGAGACACGGUCCAAACUCCUACGGGAGGCAGCAGUGAGGAAUAUUGGUCAAUGGGCGAGAGCCUGAACCAGCCAAGUAGGGUGCAGUAUGACGGCGCUAUGGGUUGUAAACUGCUUUUGUAUGGGGAUAAAGUCAAUCACGUGUGAUUGUUUGCAGGUACCAGACGAAUAAGGACCGGCUAAUUCCGUG
This 492-nucleotide ribosomal RNA is filed under the name uncultured bacterium. RNAcentral describes it as "partial 16S ribosomal RNA". It matches the Rfam family "Bacterial small subunit ribosomal RNA", at positions 36 to 507 of the family's 1533-position model. The record is from RNAcentral.